Molecule: ribosomal RNA, 447 nt
Filed under: uncultured bacterium
Lineage: Bacteria
Description: bacterial SSU rRNA
Rfam family: Bacterial small subunit ribosomal RNA
Source: RNAcentral
UGAGGAAUCUUCCGCAAUGGGCGAAAGCCUGACGGAGCGACACCGCGUGGAGGAUGACGCGUUUACUCGUGUAAACUCCUUUUCUGUGGGAAGAUAAUGACGGUACCACAGGAAUAAGGGGCGGCAAACUACGUGCCAGCAGCCGCGGUAAUACGUAGGCCCCAAGCGUUAUCCGGAAUUACUGGGUGUAAAGCGUCUGUAGGUGGGAAUGCAAGUCUCUCAUGAAAGACCGGAGCUCAACUCCGUGUUUGUGAGAGAUACUACAUUUCUAGAAUCGGGGAGAGGGAAGCAGAAUUGUAUGAGUAGGGGUGCAAUCCGUUGAUACAUACAAGAAUACCAAAAGCGAAGGCAGCUUCCUGGAACCGUAUUGACACUGAGAGACGAAAGCGUGGGGAGCGAAAAGGAUUAGAUACCCAUGUAGUCCCUGAGCGGGCUGGCAAGGCGCAU